Molecule: ribosomal RNA, 479 nt
Filed under: uncultured bacterium
Lineage: Bacteria
Description: bacterial SSU rRNA
Rfam family: Bacterial small subunit ribosomal RNA
Source: RNAcentral
GAUGAACGCUGGCGGCGUGCCUCAAACAUGCAAGUCGAGCGGGGCUAUGUAAUAUCGUCAAGGUAGAACAUAGCCUAGCGGCGAACGGGUGAGUAACACGUGGGUAAACCUGCCUGGAAGACCAGGGAUAACGAUUCGAAAGGGUCGCUAAUACCUGAUAAUAUCCUUUCAUCGCAUGGUGAUAGGAAGAAAGGGGAAACCCGCUUUCAGAUGGGCCCGCGUCCCAUCAGCUAGUUGGUAAGGUAAAGGCUUACCAAGGCGACGACGGGUAGCCGGUCUGAGAGGAUGUACGGCCACACGUGGGACUGAGAUACGGCCCAGACUCCUACGGGAGGCAGCAGUUGGGAAUCUUAGGCAAUGGACGAAAGUCUGACCUAGCGACGCCGCGUGAGGGAAGAAGGCCUUCGGGUUGUAAACCUCUGUCAUGGGGGAAGAAGUAAGUGACGGUACCCCAAGAGGAAGCCCCUGCUAACUACGUG